GCCGGCACUGGCACCGGGCCUCUCGGGACCUCGCCCCGGUCCACGGCUCCAGCACGCAGCGAGAAUGGCCCCCGCAGCUCAGGAACUUGCAAGGGUCGGCCCGGUCCGCUACGGGGACCGGUCACGUGGCCAGGUGCGCCGCAGCCGUGGAGCAGAACUCGCGCAGGACGCACUGGACCGCCUCGGUGAUGUUGUACGGCACCGACUUGGCCAACUUCAUUCUGCUGUUGACGACCACGCUGCCUUUGCGGAAGUUGAGGAUCUCCAAGUUGCGAAAGCCUGUCAGGUUGGCCUGCAAGUAGGGCAGCAGCUUUUUUUUUUUUUUUUUUUGCAGGGGCCAAGUCGGCAGCAUUGGUGGGACAAAGGGAAUACACACAAAAGUCAUCGGUCAAAUCGUGUCCUUUUACACGCACGCACGCAGACUCGCUGUCUUUUUCCUCACCACAUUUAGGAAGGUGUUCUCCAAGGACCUGUACUCGGGCGACGUCUUGUUGAAGAGGUCCUCGGAGAAGUCAAAGUUGGUGACGCGCAGGCUGAAGAAGACCACCAGCUCGCGGCCGUGAGGAGCCAUCGUCACGGUGGCCGUGGUCAGAUCCCUUCGUGUCCUCCUCCAUGACGAUGACAGCGCUUUGCUGGUGAGCUUCCGCCACCUCAAAGAGUCCAAAGUCCACAGUUGGGCCGCG
Syngnathus acus (greater pipefish) is the source of this 683-nucleotide long non-coding RNA. RefSeq lists it as uncharacterized. The record is from RefSeq and is a predicted model, not a curated record. The transcript is spliced from 3 exons. NCBI's taxonomy places the organism in Eukaryota, Metazoa, Chordata, Actinopteri, Syngnathiformes, Syngnathidae.